AUCGCUUCUUGGCCUUUUGGUUAAGAUCAGGUGUAGUAUAUUUGCUUAAACUGGGGCCAAUACUAAACUUAUUUUUUAUAGUGUAGAUUAAAAUUCGAUCUUGAUAUCAGGUAAGUCUCCCUACCUUGUUCUUCUUUAGGAGUGUAUUGACUAUUU
Bos grunniens (domestic yak) is the source of this 156-nucleotide small nuclear RNA. Its record names the gene U2. It matches the Rfam family "U2 spliceosomal RNA". From Rfam's summary of the family: U2 is a small nuclear RNA (snRNA) component of the spliceosome (involved in pre-mRNA splicing). Complementary binding between U2 snRNA (in an area lying towards the 5' end but 3' to hairpin I) and the branchpoint sequence (BPS) of the intron results the bulging out of an unpaired adenosine, on the BPS, which initiates a nucleophilic attack at the intronic 5' splice site, thus starting the first of two transesterification reactions that mediate splicing. The record is from Ensembl. Lineage: Eukaryota; Metazoa; Chordata; Mammalia; Artiodactyla; Bovidae.